AUGGUGUAUAUAAAAAUAAUAAAAAAUUUUAUUUAUUAAAAUAUAUAAUUGAUACUUUCGCAAAAAUGUUUUUCGGAACAGCUGCUUUUGUAAACCCGUGCAUUAAUGUAUUCUUUAAUGUACUCGGUUGCAGAUUUGAAAAGCUACGCCUCUCCUGGUGGUUUCCCAACGCGCCUGAGAACCGCUGUCCUCAAGAUUGCUGCGACAUAUGCUGGAAAUUUGUUCGGCGGGAAUUUACGAGCGAGUUUCCGUGUCAGAGCCAAUACCUGGGCUCUGUUAAUCGCUCUUUCACUUUGGGAAACUGGUGACCCCGGUCCUGACCUGGCUCAUCCCGAAGACGGUGUGCAGGAGCGCCUUAGCUGGGAAACAAGGGGACCAGUGGGUCUGGGUCUCUGGGCAGUCUCCGCACGGUGGAUUCCAAGGAGCUGGGUCUCGUAAUGCGAUAUAAAUGGAGGCAGGACCGGCCGAAUGAAAAGCCAACGGGCAAGUUCGGGUAGAGGAGAUACAUCAAGAUCGGGCUGACGGUUGACUCCGCGCCCGACGGGGGGGCCCCGGUAAAAACUGGAUCCCUCCCCGCCGCUCCCCGAGCCCGCGCUCCUCUCCCGUGCCUCCACACCGAGCAUAAUAAGGACAAACUUUUAAUCCCGAACUCAAUUAUAAUUUCCUCCCGCUCGCUAGACGACGCGGAAGGGGGCGGCAUUUUUGGCUGGUUGAAUAAAAUUUCGAUCCGAGAAAUGGACCUACUAUCUCGCAGUCCCGUGGUCCCGUGAUCAUUAUUAACUAAAGUCGUUUAUCACAGCCGACAGAUGUCUCGUAUAUUUCGAUUCGCGCAUGAUCCGAUUCUACCUCCGGUUAGGUGUUUGAGGUGCUUUAAUUUGUGCGAGAGGUUUGGGCGCGACAAUGGUGCUUUCGUCGAGGUUGCUCUUAGUUGAGUUGCCUAGGAAAAUAGAGUGGGCGUGUCAUCACCGAUUUCCGGCCGUAAUCAAUGCGCAUAAUCAGAGACGGUCCCAACUUUUCUCUCUCUCUCUCUCUCUCUCUCUCUCUCUCUCUCUCUCUCUCUCUCUCUCUCACUUUCUCGUUCUUUCAUCCGACAAUUCUUGAAAAACAUUCAGUGGCCAUUCGACACCCGCGCGCGCAUUAAGGAGGUCGCGCUGGAACACGAGACCCUCGAGCGAGCAUCGCGUCUCCUCUCUGUCUUGCCUUUCUUCAGGGGCACCCUGGAUAAUCCCGGGAAUCGGGAGGGCCCUUUGUGUCGCGUUUCGGGCGAGAAAAUGCUUUGUCAUCUAUGCUUCCGUCGUAUAUCGGGGGUGUGCUUGGAAGGACCUUCUCUCUCUCUCUCUCUCUCUCUCUCUCUCUGCGGCUCGGCGGUAUUAUGCCCGCCGCAUGAUCGCAAGACAGUGCCACCCGACCAGGUGUUCUAGGAUCCAAAUUGUUACAGCAUCCAGAAAUCUUUCCCGUUCCACUCGGGGUCCCGCCGGCGAACAAUGGCCGCCCCAUUCCGCGCUACGUUUUCAACGGCCGCCGCCUCGCUGUCUCUAAACGAAGGUACUUUGUCGCCGACGGCGCAACGGGGAGACGAAGAUCGUAAUCUAGUUUGUGAGACCAUCUUCGAGAAAGGGAGACUGUCUUUGUGCUUAAUAAAGUAGCAGGGGAGAGACACAUCGGGAGAGGCUCGUCGAACGCUCGGUAAAAAAAAUUUUAAACUGAAUUAUUAUUGCUUGUAUCCACGAAACGAUAAUAUUUUCUAAACGCUUUCGUGACGCUCGCGCGGAUCAUCCCCGCGCAUUAGCGUCGAACAUUGUUGGGGUAAUUGCAGAGAAAAUUACAGGUAGUCGUAAUUAUCUGCCGCGAAUGCCUACUUAGCAUUGCCGACGUAAUCUGAUCAGCCAAUCAGCAUGAAGGUGAGCUUUGAUUAUACAUUCGCAGAAGAGAUUACGAUCUGCGUGUCGAAGGUAAGCCGAUACUCCACGUGUCAGCGAAUUUCAUUAGAAUUGUUUAAUUGCGGUGGGAACGGGGGGAUGCGGGUGGGGGAGAGAGGGGUUGAUGCUCCAUUCUCGGCUCCGUUCCGCAGCUUCGCGUAGCGAUUCCCACGAGACUCGGUAUAAACACGAGGAGGUAAUAUCUUCGAUUUUCUAUCGACAUAUUACUUCCUACACGGCUAACACGCUUGGAAACAUCAGCGGACCAGUAAGCCCGCGGAGCGAGGGAGAAGGUGAGAUGACUAUCGACACCCUCGCGAUUGCAGCGCAGCGUCGCCAUUUUCAUUUCGUGUAUGUGUAUAUGAGAUAUCUCCCAUCGAUAAUGCAUCAACCGUUAGCAGCUGUCGGGAGUUACGUGAACUAAUCAACCUCGUAGCGCGAGUAUCUUCGAUUGUACCUUUGCGCGUUCCCGCAUUACAGAUAACAAAUUCAAUUUUCAGUUCAAGUCUCUUUAUUGCCGCGAACGAAAACUUACAGAGCGCGUCCUCGUACAUAAUUGUAGUGUCACACGAACCAACGUAAGGAAAGGAAAUUGUUAACUUGAUUAAAUUUUUUUUUUCAAUUCAAGUAAUUAUGCUGUAUGUAAACUAAAGUUCAAAUAUUUUAUGUAUUAAACAAUAUUUUUCUCUGCAGAAUUUGACAUCGUAAUCCAUUCAUUCGCUUUUGUCGCGGCAUAGCUUUCUCGAUAAUUUGGAAUUGUUAUGUCCAUUAUCUCGUGACUUCUUUUGUAAAAUUCCUUAUUCCACCUAGGAUUCGGCAAAAAAUUAGAACAGCAAGGAACUCAUUCAGUUGUGAAACAGUUUAAUCUACAAUGUGAUUCACACAGCCGCGGAAAGGGGUUGACGUGCGAGGGUUAAAGGGUUAACGCGUCGGGCACUCAAUGCCCGGUGGGUCGAUCUCGUUUUCUCCCGAUUUCGAGUCCUUGAGGCUUCCUCGAGCGAGGUAGGCGAGGAAACGCCGGCGUAAGUGGACAGAAAUGUAUAGCGGCAACGCGAGCUCGUAGCGCGCGCGAGGAGCGAAUCUGUCCCCACCAAGAUGCGGUUGCAGGAAGAGAAGGGGGAGGAGGUGGAAGAGGUGGCGGUGGCGGAGGACAGCGACGGCGACGGCGGCGGCGGCGGGGGAGGAGGAGGAGGAGGACCCGGUAAGGUUGGAGAAGGAGUCACGUCGCGGGCACUCUCCGCGCGUACCGAGACCCGGAGUUCUGUCUCGCGUACGCGAGAACCAAUCCCAGUAUUUGCGCUUCCUUCCUACCGCGGAUGGCGACCACCUCUUUUCAGGGGCGUAGCCGACGGCUUCCCCUUGCACCCCCUCCACCCGUGCCCCCCCUCGCCUUACGUUCCUCGUACCUCGUCCUGCCCCGUCGCCGCGGAUUUUUCGCGCGCGCCGAAUUCCGCCCCGAGCGAUGAUGAGAGGAGGCCGGUGCACACACGCUCCAUCGGCAUCCGCGAUCGAAGAAGCCGGUGACUGUACGUUUAUCGCCGGCUUAGGUGGCCUUAGGUUCGUUCAACUCCGCGUACGACUCCCAAUGCCUGACGCGACGAGAAUGACGACGAGGGGAAACGUCCGUUCCGUUUGCGAUCAGCUGAUCGCGAACGAUCUCCAAGUGUCUCGGCUGACAAUUGGGAGAUUCUCGCCGAUCGAGUCGGACGGCGACUCUUGUCAUUUCGACAGCGGGACUUUCGGCUUCGCAAUUACUUGUUACGCUGUUCAGACAGCGUAACGAUCCAUCUGUAGUUAGUUUAAAUAUUUUUUGUGCGAUCUCGAAUCCUCCGUCUUUACUGAGUGCAACCUGCACUUUCGCGCGCGAAAACGUUACAAAGACGCGACGCGAAGGCGAGCGAAACAGGCAGACAACAAAGCUGUAGAAUAGACCGCCGGAGUAUUCAGGCCGGUGACGCCGGUAGAUUUACGGGCGACUCGCCACGCAGACGAGCGCCUCUUUACGGAUUCCUGAGCUUCCACCGAUAUUAUUAGCGAUCGCGUCUUCUUUUUGAUCGUGCCUAGAGGGAGAACUUUCUUUCGAACUCGUCUUCUAUACUCUCGACCGUCACCGUCACCCUUUUUUUUUUCUUUUCGUGUAUAAUAUCGUCGAUAGGCGACGGUCUCUCCUGGAAUCCUUUUGGAAACUUUUUCCCCUUGUCAGAUCCAACUAUGUUUAAGCGAAUAUUUGGCCACGGAAGAAAUAAGAGCUUGCUUUCCUUUAUGUGCGAUUUCCCCCCUUUUUAAUCUGCUCUUUGAUACGAUAAGAAAAGAAUGUAAAUACGGUUUGAUCGUCAUUACGUCUCGUUGUUUAAUCAUUGUUUAAUUUAAGGGCGGUAAGAGAGGUAGAUCGCCUCUCGUCUGAACUUUGUUAAGAUUCACAUUUGCCGCGAACGUUCUAUCGUUAUUCGUGAAUUUAAUUACCGCCAUUUGCCGAUGGGAAUCUAUCUUUAUGAGCUAGUCCAGCGUGAAACGGAAUCUUCUUUACUUGCUACCGUGCCAUUCAUCAUUUAGUGCUUGCAAUGCCAGAAACGCAUAAUUACGGAUAAUUACAUCGGUACUAUGUACCGGAAUAAUUGUAGUCUCGCAGACCACUGCUCGCCAUCGGCACUCGCUCGAUUACCCCCCUUCGGUACGUUCGGGUUCGUAGCAACAACGAGAAUUCGCAAAGCUUUAGGCAAUUUCCAAGUAUUUUAAUAACCGGCGGUUUUCCUAUCCGCAGCAUUUUAUGCAUAACUUUAUUAUUUAUCUCUAUCGGCUCACCGCCUUGCUUUAUCGCUCGAAGGUAUUUCACGCUCUUACAACAUGCUACGAAUAUAAUUAAAGGAUAUAUGCUUGAAAUUGCACCUUACUUUUAGUAACUUCAAAUUAAUAUAAUGUGAAAAUAAUUACCUAAAUAUUUUUUCACAAAUUCUACUUAAAAAUUAAAUCCUUCGGUUUGAACUCAAAUUGUAUCGACAUUUUUGCAAUUUUUGUAGAAUUAUAUGUUACAAAGAUAUUUUAAGUUGAAUUACAGACAGUUAUAAUAUAGAGAUAUAUAUGUCGACAUUUGUAAAAACGAUUCUUAAACGAGUUUCUCCCAAAAUGCGACGUUUUCGAAGCAGGUGCCGAAAAUUCUAAAAGCCGAAUCGGGAUCGCGCGUUUCAUUUUCACGUUCACACGAGGACGAUUCGCGGCAGUUCUCGCGUGGUCUGCGGAAACCUUAUUGCCUAUUCAGACCGUGAUACCUUAACUGUCCGGGAUUCGAUGUCUACGGGCAUCGUAAAGCGAUGGUGUGCGGAGAGAGCGCGAGUUACCGGUGCCUAUCGUGUCUCUUACCGGUCGAGUAUUAUCGAGAUUGCAGGCAAGGGUAAGGCCCCCGUGUGCGGAGUCCGACGAGAGGAAAAAGCCGCGGACAAGGCGAGAGGGUAUGAAAAUGGCCGAGUAAAUGACUCCCUCGUACUUUGAUCACCGCAGUCCUCCCUCGAGAUUCCCACUAACGCUCCCGCCAAAUCUCUCUAUUUCCACGUUUUUCCGUUUCUCCCGCCCCCUUUUUUUUUCCUUACGGCAGAUUUUUUCCCCGACAGUUUCGCUUUAACGCUUUCCCCCUCCGUACGCGCGACUACGCGUACGCGAUUGAAAAUAUUGAGAUAAACGAAUCAGUGGAAACGCAGCGAAUCCGCACUUUCCACGGGCCCGGGAUCCCCGGCGUUAAUGUAUGCGAUGUAAUUAUCUUGAUCCGCGGGUCUUUACGAGCGUCCGUGAUUGCGGUGCUGCGCGCCGAUAUCCGCGCGCGUUCCGCCCGGGCUUGGAGAAUUGCACUUGGCUCUCGAUGUUUCUGCAAAUUGCACUUUGAAUGCUCUAGUUAUACGUUAGGCGCUGCAACUCUCCGGGGACGUAAGUAUGUGAGAGACCGCGGCGUCUGGGUGGAUACACCUAACUCUCCCGCCACUAAAAUCUCCUCUCGCCCUCGCCCUGAUAAUGCUAAUAAUUUACGGCGCGCGGCGGGUAAUGAAACGGAUCGCGGUUGCUCGUUAACUCCGAGCGAUAAAGUAUCGAAAUUAGUGACAUUAGGCACACCUAGUCGUCCACACGAGGCGUUUACGUUCGAGCGGCGAUAGAGUUAAAAUAAUGUCGUUUCGUGGUUGAAGAGCAUUGGCGGCGGAAAUUUAUCAUUGGUAAAUGACAGGGAGAUUUUAUUAGAUAAGAUCCUAACAAAAUGUAUACGCUUUAGGAUUUACAUUCCCUAUUUAAGAAAGGAAGAUAAAGGGCUUUAUCUCCAUCCUUCCCUUCCCUCGCAAGGGGAGGGGGGGGAGGGAAGGGGGAAUGUAUUCCAGAUCGACGGUCAUGUAAGUCGCUUCGAAGAAGGGAAAUUGGAAACCUGGAGCAGAUACUUUGGAAAUAGCAGAAAGGAUUGAUACGAGAAUGCUUUCGAUUUUCCUUAACAAGCUCCGUACAAUCCUUCGCUCGUACAUUUAUAUGGGGGGAAUGUAUCUCUUUAUCCCCGAGGGCGGGAUAUGCGCGAGAUACGUAUCUCCGGGUUAUUAAUGUAUGUUUACAGACCCGUUUCACUACGAUUUCGUUCGGCCGGAGAAUUAAGCGAGAGAUCCUCAAGUUAUCCCGAAAAAUGUCUCAUAAUAACGGUUCUCAUGCCUUCGCGCACCGUUACGAAGGCGACAAAAGUCGAUUAAUUCGCGCAACAGAUGAUUGACUUUAUUUGAAAUGAUGAAGUUCAAUUUUGAUCUAAUUGAGGUGACCUAAACGCUCGUGUUUCCGUCUCUAACGUGCGGCACGAGAUAAGAGGAGAUUAGUUAAAGUUAAGUCAACCGACGUAGAACCGGUCAUCAGCGAAGCGUCGUCGAAAUGAUUGAUCGUUAAAUAACUGUUAUUAAUACUGGCUAUAAAACAUCCCGGGCCUCGUCGUUAGCGUCGGGCAAUAAUUCUCUGUUUGAUAAGAGUGUCACAACCUUGCCAAGCUAAUCUGUCAGCCUCAAGAAGACUCCGCGUUCUACCUCGUCGGAUCCACGCCGAUCCUCGGCCUUAUUUAUCGAAUAACACGCAACCUUCGUAUCUAAAGCUCUCCCUUCUUUCGUACAGUUGAGUAUCGCUGUUGGUAAGAAUGAGUCCGUAUUGAUCACACUUGAGAGACCUCGGCUUCUCCCUCCAUUCCCCCUCAGCCCCCAACGGAGAUAUGAAUUCCUAAUAUACGGAGGCCUCCCCCCCUCCCCCUUUACCCUCCUCCCUCCUCACGUACCAUGCCUUCGAAUCUCCUAUCGACGGCGGGAAGCUCGAAAAACUUAGUUACGUCUGGCGUCUCUGGCCACGAUCCAACGGCAAUCACAGCCAUCUUUAAUUCCUUUCUUCUGUCUAGCGGAUGACUUAUACCCCAAAAAAGAUUCCUUCCUAUGGUCCUGGCGUGAAAAGAAGCACACUUCUAAGGCUCUCUUAUGCUUGGUCUCGCAUUUUAUAAUGAUUCAUAUUACUUCGCCUCGUAAGUGUUAAUGAUCGACUGUGCCGCAAAAGAAAUUAUAAUAACGCGCUCCAGAAAUAGAUUGAACUUUUUUCCAACAAUCGAUUCAAUAUUUCCUUUGUAAAAUCAAUUUAUGUGCAAGACAAUCGCCAUUUCUUUUUAUUUUAGGUAAUAUAAUAAAUUGCUAACUAAUUGUUCUGUUUUUUUUAACAAUAUCCAAAAAAAGAUUAAAAAUUUGGAUAUUUUCUUUUUGAUGAGAUGUGUCGAGGCACUGCGUUUAUUUUUUUUCUGGAUCGUAGCGUAUAAUUUACAGACUUGUGUCACGCCGGUAUUGUAAUAACGGCGCCGGUGAAUUAUCCAAAUAAUUGCUGAGAGGAACCUGCCGCAGAAACAAUAAUGCGACGACCGGAUCGUCAUUACCGGCCCGUGGAGUUAUUAUAAGCGAGUUAGGACAGUACGGCGGAUCGUUAAGUUUCUCGUCGCAUCGAGGGAAAAAGACGCGGUUGACGUUGGAAAAGCGGUUGAAAAUUGUUGGCAACUAAAUGACAUACAGUUGAUUGGCGACAAAAUAAGAAAAACAGCGAUUGCGAUCGAUCUCAUGUGAUUUUCGCAAACUGUCUUUUAAUGGCUCGUUAUAUUGUAUUAAUAUCUUGGAUUAAUGAUCAACAUUUAUAAUGAUCUUGUUAUUAAAGAAAUGCAGACGAGAAUUUGUGUACUUCAAGUCAAGAAAAAAGAGGUAUUUUUAUUUGUGAGUCAUAAAUAAGAUGGACCAAAUAAGGCUCACUUAAUUAAUUUUAUUUUUUAAAAACUCUAUUAACAUUUCAUAAAAAAAUAUAUUUGAAAUAAAUUAAAUGAGCCUUUUUCAAAACCAAAAUCUUAUUUUUUAAUAAUGAAUUGUAAUGAUAAAACAAUACACAGAAAUUGUAUUUCUUUUAUAAAGACAGCGUCUCUUGGUAAUAAUCCUAGUAGCACAAAACAUUGGCGCAAUAUUGGGUAGUAAUAUAAAGGCAAUAUUUCCAAUAUUGGUCCAGUAUUGUAAAAUAGACGCUUCACCUUAUUUAGCCAAUUUGUCUAAGCAGUAAUAUUGGUUCAAUAUUGGUUCAACAUUGGGCCAAUGUUGAACCAAUCAAUUUUUUGUAUUAGACAUUGGUUGCAUUCUAAUUUGCAACCAAUAUUUUAUGACCAAUAUUGGCGUUGCAUUGAGAAAACAUUGGCCAAUACAUUCCUAAUAUAACUAAUGUUUAGUCAAUAUUAGCCAAUGUACUGUCAAUGUAUUGUGCUACUAGGGAAUCAUCUCUAUACUUCUUGUUCCUGGAGUACCACUGUAUUUUCUGAUUAUUUAAGGCUCAACUCGUAACUGAAUAUCCAGUGUAAGAAACGGAUUACCCGAUACUACUGUCGCAAACUGAAGAUUGCCACAACUAGUGCCUUGUGGAGCAACGUUGUCGAGCGAGACCGAUUCGUUAAGUAUCCUUCUUGCUGUUAGAAAUGUCACGAUCUCCCUUCUCGCCCCUCCUCGGGACGGUGCCGCCCUUCGCCCUUAAGUACAAGGGCGGCCGUUUGAAAUCGUCCGCGGAGUUAUUUUAUAAUUCACGUCGCUUGGUCACGCGGUACCGAGGCUUGCCUGUAACUAACCGUAUUUACGGUAUAGACAGCUGCGGGGCAAUGGCGAACAACUAUGUGCCGACGUCACGUACGGCCCGCGACGACGAGGCCCGUCGUACCUUCCAUGUCAUAACUUGGAAAAUAGCGUUUCCACGUUCGUACAAGGCAAGAGAAGGACGCUCGGUUUAAACAACGCAUUAUGACAAACUUGGUAGAAUUUGGCAAAAUUGUGUCAAAUAGCUUUCUUAAUUUUUAGAGACAGUUGUUGUCUUAACUAAAAUUAUUAAUCAAACUGAGCGAUUAAUAAGAUAAGAAUAAAUUAAUACACCUGAGCAAUAUCUUCUUUCAAACCAAUUAAGUGGUAUUUCACGUUCACCUUCGAGUCGCAGAGACAAAUUACAAUUCUCCAAUUAAUUCUGAAAGUAAUUUCUGUUUCGAUUUAAAAUCCAUUGUCGUCCAACGGAGAUUCUAUAAUUGAUCUUUUUUUUUUUGCAUCGGAAUGACGCGAGAUGAACCUCUUUGUCUACAAAUCUCUCGUUAGAGGCUCCCGCCACGAGGAUCGUUCCGCGGCGCGGCGGGACCAGCUUCGCCCAUCGUGAAUGGCGGUGUGGAAUGCGGUAAAGCAAAUAGGCUCCUCUCGCGGGCGAAUAGCUAAUUACGCUUCUUGGCAUUCCUGUUUCUGGUUAGGUGAGCCGGAGCCGCAGAGCUAGCCAAGCCCGGCAAGAUAGUCAGCGGCGAGGCGCGCCGCGCGAGGAAUUACAAGCUAAUCCUCGACUCGUAGGAGGACACGAGCGACCGCGGUCACCCGGGGAAGACGAGGGGAAUCUCUCUCUCUUUCUCUUUCUUGCCGUGCCCUCUCCACCCUUUCUUCCACCCUCGCCCUCGUCCUCCUCCACCUUAUUCCUCAUCGUCCACCACGGGCGUUCCGCGUCUCGUGCGCCUCGGCUCGCCGCGCCGCCGCUCCUCCCUCCCCCGGCGUAAUGGCGUUGUUUAAUGUUUAAUCAUACCCGACUGUGCGCUCGCAGUAUAAUCAGAGUAUAAUUCAGACAACAACAUCAACCACCGUCGACCACCGCCGACAAGUCUGUCGGUGAGUCCCGAGGUCCGGUCGAGCUGCGGUCGUCAGCGGAGUGAUCCCGGGGUAUCAAGCCAGGCAUCGACGCCACAUCAGCCGACCCUACGUGUGCCUCUUUACCUUGGCCUACCAGAUCCUUUUCAGAGUUCGUGAUGAUAGAACCGCGAAUUACGCGUGUACUCUAUGUGCCUAAGAAAUUCAAUCUUGCGUGAGCGGUAGUAGAAUACUGACAGUUAACUUCCGAAAAUGUAACACACGCGACGUUUCCAAUACAGUCGUACGUUUCACGGACGCGGAUUAUAAUAAAGUGGGAUAUAAAUUAAAUCCCGGCUCAAACGUAAGUGUGUUAAUUUGGAAGAUUAUCCGAGUAAAAUGUGCUCGCCGGAUCCGUGUGAUAUCUGGCUCGCUAUCGGAGCGAGAUAUUGAUAAUAAAUUUUUUCCAAAUCGCGGAGGACAGAUGAAUAAAUUCGAGGGUCCUGCUCGUCUGUAAGACACCUUUGCAAUAUUUCAACUGUUGAAAAAUAGUUUAUACCCACAUCGCCCGCUCCUCAAAUUACGCAGAGAGACGGCUAAUCCAAUUGGAAAUGUAAAUAUAACCAGCCAUUCAUUUUUGCAAACCGCGCAAAUAUGUUCCCCCGUGUCAUUUCCAUGCUGAUUCAUUCUCGCAGGCCGCCGCGUGUACCGUUAACUUUCUGAUUUACUAAGUAUAUUUGAGAUCGUCUUUAUAUAAUCGGCUUUCACAUAUCAAGGAUCGGGACGGUUUCUAGUAAUUAGCGAUCGAUCGUUUUUGCGAGGCGUAGCGGAGCGGCGCGCAUUCAGACGCUAAACGACCGGGCCUCCCCCCCCCCCCACCUUUUUUUUACUUCGGGGGGGGGCCCCAAGGCCCCGGGUACUUGCCUCGUGCCGAGUCAUGCGUGGAACUCCCAGGCAUCAUUGCCAUAACUCGUCGUGCCAAGUUGCCUUCGCGGAGUUUAUGGCACCGUCGUCGUCGUCGUUUCUCGCGCGCACUCACUCCCGGCGGCGCUCGUAACAAUUCGGUCGCCGCCGCAUCCCCGACGCGCACAAUCACGGUUCGUAUUUCCAGUGCCAAAUCCGGCACUGUGCUGCCGCUCGGCGCGCGCGACCGGCGGGUCCCGAGAAUUUAUGCGCUCGAAGCGCGAAUCUCUUCGUGCCGUAUUGUCGGCUUGAGAGAUCGGGGAAAAAAAAAAGCGUUCAAUUACUCACGCGGGCGACGUGAUCCAAGGCACUCGACAGCGACAUACGUUAACAAACACAAAGGCAACAACAAUCGAGAUCGUUUUCUCUCAUUGAAAUUUAUAAAAUCCAAAUGUUAUCGCCAAGAUUUUUAAGACUCGCUUUUCUUUUCUUAUCUGAUUAGAUUUCGAACAAUAAUUCAAGUCUUAUAAGGGGGGCUCGGAAAUUGAUUCCCGAAAGUCCGUCGGUCGCGCACCGCAGACGUUUCUUCAAUCGCGGCCGAAACGAGGUGAUGAUAUGUGGGCCGAAAUGUAGCCUCGUGUCACGAGGACGCCUCUACCGGAGGGAUCGGCGUGGCUCGACGACGGUUGGAAAUAACGUGGCACAUUAUAGCGAGGCAUUAGAGUGGCCGGUAGCCGACCGGCGAGUUUUUUGCCGGAUUCCAGUAGCGCCUUCGACAAACACCGAGGAGGAGUGGAAGAGAACCCCGCGCUUCCUCCGCUACUUUUACUAGACAUUAUCCACGACCGAGAGGGAGGGGGGAGGGGGGAGGGCUAUCUCGUGACUCUCGUCGUCCGCUGAAGCCCGCGCGCACGGCACCAGGCCGAGGGUCCAGAAGAAACCCGCCUUCGGAGGCAUCUCUGCCGGCCUGUGCCUCUAUGUCUGCGGAGAAAGUGACGUGCGCUGGCACCGGUCCCCGGACUCACUUCUGCCGCGUAUGAGAGCGAAUCGAUACUUUACGGCGCGUCUACGGACGCCUCCCCUUUCCCCCGGGAUGACGCAACGCCGUGGCGUGUACACGCGGUACACAGAGGAAAACGAAAGUCACGAAUCUUUUCAGCGUGCUCGUCCGCGUCUAUUCUUCCAUGAGCAGCGAACCGUAACUCCGAGUAAACAGUAAUCUAACUUGUUCAUAAGAGAGCAGAUUGAUUCGAAACCUAAUUAAAAGUUAUCACAAUGUGCGCGUCGCACGUCAAAUGCCGUCGUAAGCUUUUUUUUUUAAAUUUAUCGUCACGAAUAGAAAUUAAGUGAUUACCCACACAGCAAAAUUGAUCCCGGGAUCAUCUCGAUUUUAUCCCAUUUUUGUCCUGGCAAGAUAAAACGUCUUAUGGUUGUCCAUAGGAGCUCUCAGUAAGAGCUCUCGUCCUGCUCAAGAUCAAUGCGGGACGGUUUAAAGAUAUCCCGUUGUAACAGCAAAUAGACGAGCAAAGCGUACUCUCCAGAGGACAUCCAUAAGAGCUCUCAAUAAGAUCUCGUUCUGCUCAAGAUCAAUGCGGGACGGUUUAAAGAUAUCCCGUUGUAACAACGAAUAGACGAGCAAAGCGUACUCUCCAGAGGAUAUCCAUAAGAGCUCUCAAUGAGAUCUCGUCCUAUUCAAGAUCAAUGCGGGACGGUUUAAAGAUAUCCCGUUGUAACAGCAAAUAGACGAGCAAAGCGUACUCUCCAGAGGACAUCCAUAAGAGCUCUCAAUAAGAUCUCGUUCUGCUCAAGAUCAAUGCGGGACGGUUUAAAGAUAUCCCGUUGUAACAACGAAUAGACGAGCAAAGCGUACUCUCCAGAGGACAUCCAUAAGAGCUCUCAGUAAAAUCUCGUCCUAUUCAAGAUCAAUGCGGAAUGGUUUAAAGAUAUCCCGUUGUAACAACGAAUAGACGAGCAAAGCGUACUCUCCAGAGGACAUCCAUAAGAGCUCUCAAUAAGAUCUCGUUCUGCUCAAGAUCAAUGCGGAAUGGUUUAAAGAUAUCCCGUUGUAACAACGAAUAAACGAGCAAAGCGUACUCUCCAGAGGACAUCCAUAAGAGCUCUCAGUAAAAUCUCGUCCUACGCAAGAUCAAUGCGGGACGGUUUAAAGAUAUCCCGUUGUAACAGCGAAUAGACGAGCAAAGCGUACUCUCCAGAGGACAUCCAUAAGAGCUCUCAGUAAAAUCUCGUCCUACGCAAAAUCAAUGCGGGACGGUUUAAAGAUAUCCCGUUGUAACAGCGAAAGAUGAGCAAAGCGUACUCUCCAGAGCACAUCCAUAGGAGCUCUUAAUAAGAUCUCGUCCUACUCAAUGCGGGAUGGUUUAAAGAUAUCCCGUUGUAACAGGGAAUAGACGAGCAAAGCGUACUCUCCAGAGGACAUCCGUAGGAGCUCUCAGUAAAAUCUCGUCCUACUCAAGCUCAAUGCGGGACGAUUAAAAGAUAUCCCAUUGUAACAGGGAAUAGAGCAAAGCGUACUCUCCAGAGGACAUCCGUAGGAGUUCUCAGUAAGAUCUCGUCCUACUCAAGCUCAAUGCGGGACGGUUUAAAAAUAUCCCGUUGUAACAGCAAAUAGACGAGCAAAGCGUACUCUCCAGAGGACGUCCAUAGGAGCUCUCAGGAACAUAAAAAUGUGACAAUUACGACAAUAUUACACUUAUUGAAACAAUAUAUUAACAAUAUUAAAAAUUAUAAAAAAUGACAUCUAGUUCUUAUUUUUUUUAUUUUAUUUUACCCAAACAGAGCAAACACAGAUCUUUUUAUAAGUUUUCAUCAUAUUUCACAUCUUAUUUCGCAUACGUAAAAUUAAUAAAAAACUGUAAAACUUUAUAUUUAUUUAUAAAAAAAAAA
This is a long non-coding RNA of Monomorium pharaonis (pharaoh ant), 13867 nucleotides long. RefSeq lists it as uncharacterized. Lineage: Eukaryota; Metazoa; Arthropoda; Insecta; Hymenoptera; Formicidae. The record is from RefSeq and is a predicted model, not a curated record. The transcript has 2 exons.